Long non-coding RNA from Mesocricetus auratus (golden hamster), 1296 nucleotides. RefSeq lists it as uncharacterized. The transcript has 3 exons. Lineage: Eukaryota; Metazoa; Chordata; Mammalia; Rodentia; Cricetidae. The record is from RefSeq and is a predicted model, not a curated record.
CAUUUGGUGUGGCAAGACUGCUGCUCAAAUGACCAGGUCAAAGAACCUCGCUGCUGGUCAAUAGAGUCAACAGCACCAAUGGGAUGCAAGGAAGAGCCAUUCUGGUCCAUCUUCAGCAAAGCUAGAAGUAUCUCAACGGAGUCUUGCUGAAGGCCAAUGGAGUGGAUGGAAGAAGAGGUUGAAGCAGGGCCAGGUGCCAGGAAAGACGUGGCGUUAUCUCAGGACCAUCUGGUUGCAGUACGAAUGAGAAGGGAAAGGAGGUUGUGAGCACUGGUCACGUAGCCUUGCAUUGCUAUUUGCAAACACCAACAAUCAAGCCAUUUCCUGCCAGAAGGUCAGGCAAUAGCUUAGUCUCAGGAAAGAAUGGGGCUUCAAGGAACAAGAGCAAGAACCUGCAGCGGCUGGAGGGGCCACUCAACAAGAAAACUUUGAAACACUGAGAUGUGUGGAGCUUCUCGGAACAUGGGCGCAGUCUCUAGAUGCAGUGAAAGUGUGCAUGAUCUUCCGACUGGCCUUUCCACAGAAGACAGACCUGGAUUCAGCUGAGCUGAUGCUAGGAAUCAGGGUCAGAUGACGUCUGUGGCUCCUGCGGCUCAUGUUCUAUCCUUGCCUCUUUUUAAAUCCACAUUGAUGAUGAAGGAAGGGUUGGAUUAGCCCGCAAUUUUAAGGUCUUUGCGAUCUUCCACACAAAAUGCAGAUUUGUGGCUACUCUUGAAGCGAGGGAGGGCCAUCUGGGUUGAUGUGCUCACACAGCAACAUCUGGCUGCAGCUGGGCAGCUGCUGUUUCCAGAAGCAACCACAUACUGCUGCCCCACAUUCCUCACGGACCACUUCACUCAGUCUCUGUCAGCCUCAUGUUUGCAGCUGCUGCUCCAGAACACAACAGUAAAGCAGGAUGGCUGGCACGCACGUGUCCCAAAUGCGGCUUUAUCCCAGAACCUUCCUGCAGAGUGCUGGCAGCACGUAGGCCUUUAAUACAUAUUUGUUUAAUAACAGGGAGGGAGGGAACACAGCUCUGUCAAAGCAGAGCAGAUCUGUGUUUAAACGCAAGCUGUUUGAUCUUGGGGGAAGUUAUUGAAUUGUCUAAGCCUCUGUUUUCCUCAUUCGUAAAGCCAGGAUAAAAACACUCAUCCUUUUGGGCAGUCCUAGAGAAUAACGCGGCCACCAUAUAAUGGUCUCCCAUUCAAAUAUAUUAAAAGCAUGUUUACUUAAAGAGCUGUAUUCUAUGGAUCUCUGACUGGAAUAAAGUAAAAAUGCACAUUAUUUUAAUCAAGUCACCAAGAGAAGUGAGGUGAG